UGCAGGUGCAGGGGACACGGGUUCGAGCCCCGGUCUGGGAGGAUCCCAUGUGCCGCGGAGCGGCUGGGCCCGUGAGCCAUGGCCGCUGGGCCUGCGCGUCCAGAGCCUGUGCUCCGCAGCGGGAGAGGCCACAACAGUGAGAGGCCCUGGGGACCCCCUUGCUGCCCUGGCGAGCCAUCUGUCACAGGUCCCCUAGUCCAGGAUCCAGCCGGUUGAUGGGCUGUAAUGUAAACCCUUGAGGGCAGACCCUAGGCUUGUUCCCUCACAGCCUGGUGGUUCAGUGACUGGCCUUGAGGUCGACCAGAAGCUGGGCUUGAAUCCCAGCUCCCCCACUAAUCAGAUGUGUGACCUUGGAUGGUAUCAAGGAACCCAAGAAACAACAGAGAGACUUAAAAACGGGCUGCCACGACAGAUGACACUUUGGCCUAAGUUAUGGAAAAUGCAGUUGCUGAAACGUGAAUUCGCCAGCUCGAAGAUAUGCUACUCCAAACGAGGCUAAGAUUCUAAGAUUGCAUGGAUCUUUCUCAGAGAGUACUCUUCUAACAUAGUGGACAGUGGCAUUGAUCCUGAUGUUCCCUCCUGCUGAGCCCCAGGCUCACCUGUGCCCUUCACCUGGAAGUCAGUGCGGCGCUGCAGCGUGGAUGGCAGCUCAUUCAGCCGUAGGCUCAGCUGCCGUUUGAAAGUAUGAUUUAAGAGUACGUUGCAUACAAUAAACAAGGCAUGGAAACAACCUAAAUGUCCAUCAAUAGAUGAAUGGAUAAAGAAGAUGUGGUAAUAUAUAUACAAUGGAAUACUACCCAGCCAUAAAAAAGAAUGAAAUAAUGCCAUUUGCAGCAACAUGGAUGGACGUGGAGAUCAUCAUACUAAGUGAAGUAAGUCAGAAAGAGAAAGACAAAUAUCAUGUGAUGUCACUUAUAUGUGGAAUCUAAAAAACAGAUACAAAUGAACUUAUUCACAAAACAGAAAUAGACUCACAGGCAUAGAAAACAAAUUUAUGGUUACCAAAGGGGAAAAGGGAGAGGGGAUAAAUUAGGAGCUGGGGACUAACGGAUGCACACUACUGUAUAUAAAAUAUAAAUAUAAAUACAUAUAAACAACAAGGAAAAAAAAAAAAGAGUAAGCUGCAGACAGCUUACCCGACCCUAAAACCUUCAGCAUGUACCUAAGAACAAGGACAGCCUCCUACUCCACAGGACAACUUCUUACUUGGGAAGUUUAACAUGGAUAUGAUACUGUUAGCUAGUCUACAGUCCAUAUUCUAAUUUCCCCAACUGGUCUACUCAUGUCCUUUAUGGAUGUUCAUAUAUAUAUAUAUAUUUUUCAAGGUAUAUAUUUUAUAUAUAUAUAUUCAAUAUAUAUAUAUUGAAUUGAAUGUUGAAUAUAUAUCUAUAUAUACAAUAUCCAUGAUUCAAUUCAGGAUCGCACGUUACAUUUAUUAA
Molecule: long non-coding RNA, 1439 nt
Organism: Lagenorhynchus albirostris (white-beaked dolphin)
Lineage: Eukaryota; Metazoa; Chordata; Mammalia; Artiodactyla; Delphinidae
Exons: 5
Source: RefSeq, a predicted model, not a curated record